This 372-nucleotide ribosomal RNA is filed under the name Triticum aestivum (bread wheat). RNAcentral describes it as "partial small subunit ribosomal RNA". The record is from RNAcentral. Lineage: Eukaryota; Viridiplantae; Streptophyta; Magnoliopsida; Poales; Poaceae.
GCGCAUGGGGGCUUUGGCUAUGGCAUCAGGAAUCAAGAAGGAGAAGAUGACUUAAGCUUUGCUCUAGCCUACAACAUGAUUGUAGCUAACACCCUCUUUAGAAAGAGAGAAUCACAUCUGGUGACUUUUAGUAGUGGCCAACACUCUAGCCAGAUUGAUUUCAUCCUCUCGAGAAGAGAAGAUAGGCGUGCGUGCCUAGACUGUAAGGUGAUACCUGGGGAGAGUGUUGUACCCCAGCAUAAGCUGGUGGUUGCUGACUUCCGCUUUCGGAUUCGUGUCCAGCGGGAUAAGCGUGCCAAGGUCGCUAGAACAAAGUGGUGGAAGCUCAAGGGGGAGGUAGCUCAGGUGUUCAAGGAGAGGGUAUUUAAGUAG